Camellia sinensis is the source of this 2391-nucleotide non-coding RNA. NCBI's taxonomy places the organism in Eukaryota, Viridiplantae, Streptophyta, Magnoliopsida, Ericales, Theaceae. The record is from RefSeq and is a predicted model, not a curated record.
ACCAGGUCCUGCGUGACGGGAAGUGGAGUGGGGAAGAUGCUUCAGUGUUAGUUCCUGGUGACAUAGUAAGCAUCAAACUUGGGGACAUUGUACCUGCUGAUGCACGCCUUCUUGAAGGAGAUCCUCUAAAAAUUGAUCAGAGAAUCACUUCCUGUAACCAAGAUUUGAGAUAUAUAAAUUUCUGAUUUAUGUUCUCUAGAGGUGGAAAAUACUCGGAAGAAGAUGCAAAGGCUGUCGUGGUACAGAUUUUGAGUGUGGUUGCCUACUGUCAUCUCCAAGGUGUAGUUCACCGUGACCUCAAGCCUGAGAGCUAAUGCUUUUUGGACUUGUGUCAUUGGUAAUGGGUCAUUGGAUCAAUCAAGUGAAAGCGUUGUUACAUAAUUUUCCCUCUUGUUGGCUGCAGCCGAGAAUGGUAACAACUGAUCUUCUGUUGUCUGGAGCUUCUACAAAGCAGUAACAUUGUGGAUGUGAACUCAUAUAAUGAGUUGAAAGAUGCAAUUAGUCAGGGGAAAUGGGCAAGGGGUCCACUGCACUUGUAAGGAAGAAAAAGAUGGAGAGGUUCCAUGGGUUCUGCAUCUGUGUACAGCUGAAAGAUUAUCAUCAUUUGGAGAGCUGGCACUAAUGAAUAACAAACCACUCCAGGCCUCUGUCCGUGCUGUGACAAGUGGAACUCUUUGGGCUUUAAAAAGGGAAGAUUUUCGAGGAAUUCUUACGUUAGAAUUUUCAAAUUUAUCAUCAUUGAAGUUACUUCGAUCAGUAGAUCUGCUCUCGAGGUUGACAAUCUUACAGCUGAGUCACAUUGCAGAAUCUCUUUCUGAAGUUUCCUUUUCUGAUGGGCAGAUAAUAGCUGAUCGGGAUGAGGCUUUCUUGGGAUUGUACAUUAUCGAGAAGGGACAAGUUGGAAUUACUGUUGAUUACAUUAGGGAGAAGUAAUUUGAUUCUGACAAUACAAUUGCAGCAAAUAAAAGCUCUUCUUGAGAGUGUUGGGACUUCUUUCUGCCCUGAUUAUUUAGACUGGUUUGGAAAUGGUGCAACUGAUUCACAUUCUAGAAAUGCUGAUCAAUCUGUUCUUUCAAAAUUUUUACAAGCACAUCCUGCUGAUUUUUCUACCACUAAAUUGCAGGUCAGGCCAUACUUUUUGCAGAUUUUUCUGAAGUAUGAAUUUACUUUUCCUAUAAUAGUUUCAUAAUCUGCUUAGAUAAUGUUAUAUCUGUUUCAUAAACUACUUGAUCUUUAUGGCUUUGUAAUGUUAUCUGCUAUUUGGUCUAUUGGUUCUUGAAGUGACUGUCUGUUGAGUUAUAACAAUUUUAUUGAGCUUAUCAGACAUUAUUGUUUAAUAUUGCUUUUAAGAUUUGAUUGAUGUCUAAUAUUUGCAUUUGGUGUUUGUAUAUUUUGUGGUUGUCUUUGGGUAUGAUGCAUCUAAUAUUGUAGAAUUUGUUUCUGACUUAGAAUUCUUCAUUUCCUAUAAUAUUAACCUUAAGUUUUUGUUCAAGCCAAGAAAUGAUUCGUUUGAUGAGAGAGAGGCGUUUUCCUGCUGCUUUUAAGUGUUACCAUAACUUUCACAAAACUGGUUCUGUAUCUAGUGACAACCUGUUCUUCAAAAUGGUCAUCCAUGUCCACAGCGAUUUAGCAUUUCGAUGCUAUCAGAAAGAGAUGAGGAACAAAACAGGAUAGUGGCCUCUAUAUCGAGGGCAUUUAUUUACCCCAACCACCUCAAAGGAAGAUAUUUAACGCUCGACCAUAGCUGAAUGUUGUCUGCCACGUAUUCUCCAUGUCCAUAUGGCUAAUUCUGUAAUCAAAUUACUUCAACAAGGUUGAGCACUUGCUAAGGGAUGUGAAGGAUACAACCAUUAGCACCCUUGCAACAGAGGAUGUCGAGGGUUUAAUUGUGCUCAACAUAGGCAGCUAUAUGGGUGGAGUUAAUCUUUGGCAAAAUGAUUAUGAGCAUGACGAUGAUUUCAAUCUUCAGUCCAUGCAUGACAAAACACUUGAGGUGGUGUGCAUUUCUGGAGCAUGGCACCUUGGCAAACUUCAGUUCAGGGAACAACAGAGAUAAAUGGAAAAAGUGCAUCGGAGACAAAGAUGAAGAGGCUAGAUUACAAGUCAACAAAACUCAGAUUCCCAAUGUAAUUGCAGAGACACAUGACACUGCAUAAAGGGGCAUCCUAUUUUGGUGAACUAGGUUGAUAUGGUAGGAAAAGGAUUUGUAUGUGAAUGUGAUUAUUGUGAAUGAGAAUAUGAAUAUCUUGAGUUGGCUUAAAUGCCCAGAUUCCUAUUUUGGCUCAAAUAGAGGGGCAUCCUAUUUUGGUGACUCCUUAAUGUUGUUCAAAUGAUUUGUGUGUGAAUAUUUUUUUUUUUUGCACAAUGAUUGUGGACUAUCAUUUGAUAAGA